Molecule: ribosomal RNA, 505 nt
Filed under: Alternaria sp. HN1
Lineage: Eukaryota; Fungi; Ascomycota; Dothideomycetes; Pleosporales; Pleosporaceae
Also listed under: 1 other name
Description: SSU rRNA
Rfam family: Eukaryotic small subunit ribosomal RNA
Source: RNAcentral
AUUGGAGGGCAAGUCUGGUGCCAGCAGCCGCGGUAAUUCCAGCUCCAAUAGCGUAUAUUAAAGUUGUUGCAGUUAAAAAGCUCGUAGUUGAAACUUGGGCCUGGCUGGCGGGUCCGCCUCACCGCGUGCACUCGUCCGGCCGGGCCUUCCUUCUGAAGAACCUCAUGCCCUUCACUGGGCGUGCUGGGGAAUCAGGACUUUUACUUUGAAAAAAUUAGAGUGUUCAAAGCAGGCCUUUGCUCGAAUACGUUAGCAUGGAAUAAUAAAAUAGGGCGUGCGUUUCUAUUUUGUUGGUUUCUAGAGACGCCGCAAUGAUUAACAGGAACAGUCGGGGGCAUCAGUAUUCAGUUGUCAGAGGUGAAAUUCUUGGAUUUACUGAAGACUAACUACUGCGAAAGCAUUUGCCAAGGAUGUUUUCAUUAAUCAGUGAACGAAAGUUAGGGGAUCGAAGACGAUCAGAUACCGUCGUAGUCUUAACCGUAAACUAUGCCGACUAGGGAUCGGA